Long non-coding RNA from Juglans microcarpa x Juglans regia, 137 nucleotides. RefSeq lists it as uncharacterized. The transcript is spliced from 4 exons. NCBI's taxonomy places the organism in Eukaryota, Viridiplantae, Streptophyta, Magnoliopsida, Fagales, Juglandaceae. The record is from RefSeq and is a predicted model, not a curated record.
AUAUUAUAGAUCCUUUUUAUAUAGUGAGUGGAGUUUUUCCAUUUUAUCCUAUUUAUUGGUACUGAUCAUUAAUAUGGGUAAACUUGGUUAUUUUUCUUCUGUCCCAGUCCAUGCUCUAAAAAAUCACACAUACAACC